RNAcentral lists this ribosomal RNA (492 nucleotides) under uncultured bacterium. Its description in RNAcentral is "partial 16S ribosomal RNA". It matches the Rfam family "Bacterial small subunit ribosomal RNA", at positions 29 to 507 of the family's 1533-position model. The record is from RNAcentral.
AGUGAACGCUGGCGGUAGGCCUAACACAUGCAAGUCGAACGGCAGCACAGUAAGUGCUUGCUCUUACGGGUGGCGAGUGGCGGACGGGUGAGGAAUACAUCGGACUCUACUUUUUCGUGGGGGAUAACGUAGGGAAACUUACGCUAAUACCGCAUACGACCUACGGGUGAAAGCAGGGGAUCUUCGGACCUUGCGCGAUUGAAUGAGCCGAUGUCGGAUUAGCUAGUUGGCGGGGUAAUGGCCCACCAAGGCGACGAUCCGUAGCUGGUCUGGGAGGAUGAUCAGCGACACUGGAACUUGGACACGGUCCAGACGCCUACGGGAGGCAGCAGUGGGGAAUAUUGGACAAUGGGCGCGAGCCUGAUCCAGCCAUACCGCGUGGGUGAAGAAGGCCUUCGGGUUGUAAAGCCCUUUUGUUGGGAAAGAAAAGCAGCAGGUUAAUACCCCGCGGUUCUGACGGUACCCAAAGAAUAAGCACCGGCUAACUUCGUG